RNAcentral lists this ribosomal RNA (643 nucleotides) under uncultured Actinomycetes bacterium. RNAcentral's name for it is "bacterial SSU rRNA". It matches the Rfam family "Bacterial small subunit ribosomal RNA", at positions 232 to 885 of the family's 1533-position model. The record is from RNAcentral. Lineage: Bacteria; Bacillati; Actinomycetota; Actinomycetes.
CGCGGCCUAUCAGCUUGUUGGUGGGGUGAUGGCCUACCAAGGCGACGACGGGUAGCCGGCCUGAGAGGGCGACCGGCCACACUGGGACUGAGACACGGCCCAGACUCCUACGGGAGGCAGCAGUGGGGAAUAUUGCACAAUGGGCGGAAGCCUGAUGCAGCAACGCCGCGUGAGGGAUGACGGCCUUCGGGUUGUAAACCUCUUUUAGCAGGGAAGAAGCGAGAGUGACGGUACCUGCAGAAAAAGCACCGGCUAACUACGUGCCAGCAGCCGCGGUAAUACGUAGGGUGCAAGCGUUAUCCGGAAUUAUUGGGCGUAAAGAGCUCGUAGGCGGUUUGUCGCGUCUGCUGUGAAAUCCCGAGGCUCAACCUCGGGCCUGCAGUGGGUACGGGCAGACUAGAGUACGGUAGGGGAGAUUGGAAUUCCUGGUGUAGCGGUGAAAUGCGCAGAUAUCAGGAGGAACACCGGUGGCGAAGGCGGAUCUCUGGGCCAUUACUGACGCUGAGGAGCGAAAGCGUGGGGAGCGAACAGGAUUAGGUACCCUGGUAGUCCACGCCGUAAACGUUGGGAACUAGGUGUUGGCGACAUUCCACGUCGUCGGUGCCGCAGCUAACGCAUUAAGUUCCCCGCCUGGGGAGUACGG